CCUACGGGGGGCAGCAGUGGGGAAUUUUGCGCAAUGGGGGGAACCCUGACGCAGCAACGCCGCGUGCGGGACGAAGGCACUCGGGUUGUAAACCGCUUUCAGCAGGGAAGAUCCAAGACGGUACCUGCAGAAGAAGCUCCGGCGAACUACGUGCGAGCAGCCGCGGUAAUACGUAGGGGGCGAGCGUUUUCCGGAUUCAUUGGGGGUAAAGCGCGCGUAGGCGGCCGCCUAAGCGGGACGUCUAACCCCGGGGCUCAACCCCGGGCCGGGUUCCGGACUGGGCGGCUCGAGUGCGGUAGAGGAGCGCGGAAUUCGCGGUGUAGCGGUGGAAUGCGCAGAUAUCGGGCAGAACACCGAUGGCGAAGGCAGCUCUCUGGGCCGUCACUGACGCUGAGGCGCGAAAGCUGGGGGAGCGAACAGGAUUAGAUACCCGGGUAGUC
Molecule: ribosomal RNA, 440 nt
Filed under: uncultured bacterium
Lineage: Bacteria
Description: partial 16S ribosomal RNA
Rfam family: Bacterial small subunit ribosomal RNA
Source: RNAcentral